GCAGGAAUUGCAGCUCCUCGAUCCCACGCUGAAUUCUCCUUCUCAGAGGGGUCUGAAAGGAGCCAAAACCCUGGGGGAGGGAAAGGACAGAGAGACACCUUGGAGGUCAUGGAGAGCUGCAACUCUCCUGCUUGACCCAGGGAAAACCCUCUAACCCAAAGGCAAGGAGCAGCAGCGACCAUCAUGACUGCCUCAAAGCUGGGGCAGUUGAAUCAACAAAGACAUCACAGGAGUGAGUAGAGGAACAGAAUGAAAUACCUUGUGGAAAUAAUCUUCACGAAGCUGAAACCCGAAAGCCCACAAGGUCCCAACGAGAGGUAGAGCCACAGGACCGGGAGGCAGAUGUCUUCGAGUCCGAAGUUGUCUCAGGAAGAAGAGAAUCAGCAGAGCAAACAACAAAACAAAAAAAAUUGUCCCCGUUGUCAUCAUUAUCCUGCUGUGUGUGUGUGUUUUAAACCUUUGAGACUUUCUGGUCGAUCUGGAGGUGGAUAUAUUCUUUUAUCUGAUGCUUUUCUUUCUGUUUUAUAGACUCUGUUGAUGGGAAAGUAAUAACAACAUGUCAUUUAACGCUCUGUUUGACUAGUCCUGGUACUUUGUCAAAAAGAUUUCAUCAUAUUAAUUCGGGUUAAUGAGGUUAACUGGGACCAUGUGCCACUCAAAUAACAGAGAUUUAAAAUAAUAAUUAAUGAUAAUAAUAAGGGCUCUGUAAUCCAUUUUAUUCCCUAACGUAAUAUUAUCCCAGAAUUAUUUUAAAAUAAUUGUGUAUCAUACAUCCCUAAAAUCCAUCUGAAUAUAAAGGAGAAUCUUGUGGAUCCCAGAGAUAUUACCUACUCCACAGUGGUGGGAUUCUACCAGUUCGCACCAGUUCGGUAGAACCGGUUGUUAAGUAGUUAAGCAGUUUGGAGAACCUGUUAUAAGAAGAAAUCUCAUUUUGUUUUUUCCCCCUACUUUACAGGGUUAAUCCUGCAAGGAAUUACAACAUUCUUGUUUCCUAGCCUAAUCUUUAUUGCCCUGCUUACAGAAACUGCCUCUCCAUUAACCCUUAUUACAUUCUUGGCAGUUACUUCCGGUUCCGGAGCUUCUCAGAGGUGCUUUGGAGAACAGCCCGACUUCCUCUUCUUUGUGGCAGCUCCUGAGAUACUGGAAGGCUGCUAUCAUGUCUCCCCUAGUCCUUCUAGGAUAUUGGAUAUUGGAUAUUACAUAUUGGAUCACUGCUAUCAUGUCUCCCCUAGUCCUUCCCUAGUAUUCAACUACUGGCUGAAGACCCUAUCCAUGGACCCAGACAGAAUACCUGAGCAUACUCUGCGAUUAGGCUUUUUCAGUUUUCAGAUGUCAUCUCACAAUAUGGAUUGUUCAUCCAAAUCCCAAUCCAACCCAAUGUCAAAGUCAGAAAACUAUCCAACAAAGAGUCAUAGUGGGAGUGGCCAUAACGAUUUUGCAACACUUAAAUAUGUGAAGCCUUUCAAGAGCCUGGCUCAACACAAAUCAGCCUCCCAGUUAGAAAAAAAUAUUAGGAAGUUUCAACUGCAGUAAAAUGUAGCUUUGCAAUAGUGGCAAAUAUCUGUAGCUCGGGUGUAGGAUGAGGGAGAAGGUUUGUUCUCCGAGCUUGUGGGUUAGUUUCCAAAUGUUUCAUUACCAGGCUAAGUGACAUCUUCAUCAGAUGCUGCAUGCUGCAUUCCUCUGAAAACAAUAGAAUACCCUAUCCCACCAGACUUGAAAUCCUAGGCUUAGAAAACUUGGAACUCCGUCGCCUUCGACAAGACCUAAGUUUAACUCAUAGAAUCAUCUAUUGUAAUGUCCUUCCUGUUAAAGACUACUUCAGCUUUAAUUGCAAUAAUACUAGAGCAACUAAUCGAUUUAAACUUAAUGUCAACCGCUUUAAUCUAGAUUGCAGAAAAUAUGACUUCUGUAACAGAAUCAUCAGUGCUUGGAAUACUUUACCUGACUCUGUGGUCUCUUCCCAUAAUCCUAAAAGUUUUAUCCAAAAACUUUCUACUAUUGACCUCACCCCAUUCCUAAGAGGACCAUAAGGGGCGUGCAUAAGCGCACAAACGUGCCUACCGUUCCUGUCCUAUUGUUUUUCUUUUCUUCUUCCUAUAUAUACGCUUAUACCUCCUUAUAUUUACUCAUAUAUGUGUUUAUUUACUAUAUAAUCUUUUUGUAUGAUACCUACAUAUAUUGUUGUGACAAAAUAAAAUAAAUAAAAAUAAAAUAAAAAAUG
Long non-coding RNA from Ahaetulla prasina, 2221 nucleotides. RefSeq lists it as uncharacterized. The transcript has 3 exons. Lineage: Eukaryota; Metazoa; Chordata; Lepidosauria; Squamata; Colubridae. The record is from RefSeq and is a predicted model, not a curated record.